Onychostoma macrolepis is the source of this 1564-nucleotide long non-coding RNA. RefSeq lists it as uncharacterized. The record is from RefSeq and is a predicted model, not a curated record. The transcript is spliced from 4 exons. NCBI's taxonomy places the organism in Eukaryota, Metazoa, Chordata, Actinopteri, Cypriniformes, Cyprinidae.
UAUAAAGUGAAUAACAGGCUUUUGCCCUAAGGUCUCACACACACUUACGCGCAUUUGAUGGGACAGCGCACACACUUUCUGCACUUACAGUGGAAACACUCGGUCUGUGGAGGGAAAUAAGCGUGUGCUGUUAACGUGCAUGCUGUACCCAAAAGAAGUUUAGGCAGCCAGUGAGGAUUUCAGUGGAUUUGACACAACACCUGCUGAAUAUGCUCAUGACUGGAGAUUAAAAAUGGAAUAUUUCUUGCCCAGACAAGGAAACUAAACAUUUCGUAUAUCAGAAGAUCCCUUUGUAUGGGUAAAAUAUAAGUGCACUGGAAAUUACUGCAAACGACUCUGGAGGAACAACAAUUGGCUCUUUCGUUGUAGGUGGUAAAAGAACAAACCCCCGAAGCAUUCUCAAAGUAUGCCACAAAAACCCGUAUUCUAGAACAUUUCAUAUUUCACGACAUUUCACAUUAGAAUAAGAAUGCAUUAAAAAACAUUUGCAUCACAAGUGUUCUAGAACCUGCCAGGCAUCAUUUCAGGUUCCAUGAAUGUGACUCUGGGAAAUCAUUGUGUUGAGUGAUAUACGUCUAGUACUGAGAUCUGUUCUAAACUCACAAUACAAAGAUCUGAAUAGUUUCAGAUUCCCCCAGAAACCUGAAAAUUCCCAUUUUGGCUUUUCGUCCUUAUAGCAUUUAGAAACUAUAAAGACGCAUUGUUAGAUUAACUAUAACACCAUGAUGGAAUUCUGGUUUGUAUGUCUGCAUCCCAGUUUGUAUAUGCAUUGUAUAUUGGCAAGAUGCAAAAAUUUGUGUAUCCCAAAUUAUAUUCCAUUGAAAAUAGAAAGCAUAAUUGGAUGAUAUAAUUUUCUAGUGGAUUUUCAAAAUACACAUCCAUGCAUGUUUUUUUUUUUCUUUUUUUUUCUCUGAUACGACCACAAUCCCUUGCACGUCAGACGUUUUUCUGAGUACUAUGACACUAUUUUCACACUUUCAGCUUUUUAAGUUUAAGGUUUUAAAUUAUGAAUUAAGCUAAAUGUUAAAAUGUUAAAUGUUAAAUUUACUUAUCCUCAGGCCAUCCAAGAUGUAGAUGACUUUGUUUCUUCAUCAUAAAAGAUUUGGAGUAAUAUAGCAUUACGUCACUUGCUCACCAAUGGUUCCUCUAAAGUGAAUGGGUGCCGUCAGAAUGAGAGUCCAAACAGCUGAUAAAACAUCAUAAAAAUCUACAAAUAAUCCACACAGUCCAUCGGUUUUUCUUGUGAAGUGAAAAGCUGCAUGUUUGAAAGAAACAAAUCUAAAGUCAUUUUAACUUGAAACUGUCACUUCUGGCCAAAAUGUGGGUCCAUAAUCCAUAAUAAUGUUUUUUUCCAGUGAAAAAGUCCAUUAGUCCCUCUGUUCUGAUGAAGACACAAACACAUCUACAACUUGGAUGGCCUGAGGGUAUGUCCAGUGUGUGUGGUUACGGACGCGGUCGCUCUCUCGGGCGAUGUCAGAGGCGUUCUGGAUAACCAGCUCGUCAUACGCCCUCAGACCGCUGUCCUCCACGUACUGCAGGAAAUGUGUGCACUCGUCUUCCCCGG